UAUAGAAAUGAGACACAAGUAAACCUUGAUUUAACACAGGAUUGACACACUGUUUCAAUGAAAAUAAGAGAAAUGACUCUUUUCUGCUGGCCACAUUUUGAAGAUGAAGACUACCUGGUGUUAAAUUCAGGGAGAGUGUUGUCAAAUUACAAUUCAAUUCAUUUUAAUCUACGUUUAUAUAAAUGAUUAGAUUGUUUUACACUUUAAAAUAACUAACUAAUGUAAAUACAUUGCCUUUUCUUAUAUUCUUUCAAUGCAGAUUCCCAAACACAUAGUUUUCUGCUUUAAGGAGGAUGGUGCCUUUGAUGUUGUGAUAGAUGGCAAGUCAGAAGAACCAUUGAAGCUCUUUGAUUCUGGGAAUACAAGUCCAAGGCCUGAUCAGAGUAAACAAGUGAAAGAUAUAUUGGUUUGUCUUCGUCUUUUUUUGUUGAAAUGCAGCUCAAUUACGGUAAGGUUGCAGAGACCGUCAGGAAAGCAGCCAUGGGAAAAUGUCAAAUGCACAUAGCACUGAUGCUUGCCUCAAAAUUGGAGAAGGGCUUAUUCCUGGAUGUGGAGUAACGUUCUGUUGCCAGCGGCAGGAGCUAUAAAUUUGAAAAAAUGGAAAACCGUGGGAUGCUGUCUGUCGAAUCAAGCGACUCCAAUCUAUCAGAAAGCAGCGCAGGAUCUUUUUCCUUUCCUAUGUAAGCUGAAACCUUGUGUUAAUUCAGUAAGCUACUAAUUCCAAAUGGUUUUGCUCUGGUAAUUGGUUCUUAACAUGAUUGGAAAACCUGCUGGUUGCACUGGGAGCUGAUGGGGAGUCCUUCACAAAUGCCAAAAUCAGAGGACCUCUACAUAAGGAAGCACAAACCCGUCCUCGUUUUCAGUGCUGUAGAUUCUAAUCUGAACAUUUCCCUUAGUAAAUGCAGAAUCAAUCCUAAUUCAUCUUCUGCAAUGCUAGAACAGGGUUCGUUAAGUUGUACCAAGGCCCUUCGUUUCUUAU
RNAcentral lists this unclassified non-coding RNA (979 nucleotides) under Hevea brasiliensis (rubber tree). The record is from RNAcentral. Lineage: Eukaryota; Viridiplantae; Streptophyta; Magnoliopsida; Malpighiales; Euphorbiaceae.